GAGCACGCCGCGUGAGGGAUGAAGGCCUCUGGGCUGUAAACCUCUUUUCUCAAGGAAGAAGACAUGACGGUACUUGAGGAAUAAGCCACGGCUAAUUCCGUGCCAGCAGCCGCGGUAAUACGGGAGUGGCAAGCGUUAUCCGGAAUUAUUGGGCGUAAAGCGUCCGCAGGCGGCCUUGUGAGUCUGUCGUUAAAGCGUGGAGCUCAACUCCAUUUCAGCGAUGGAAACUACAAGGCUUGAGUGUGGUAGGGGCAGAGGGAAUUCCCGGUGUAGCGGUGAAAUGCGUAGAUAUCGGGAAGAACACCAGUGGCGAAGGCGCUCUGCUGGGCCAUAACUGACGCUCAUGGACGAAAGCCAGGGGAGCGAAAGGGAUUAGAUACCCCUGUAGUCCUGGCCGUAAACGAUGAACACUAGGUGUCGGGGGAAUCGACCCCCUCGGUGUCGUAGCCAACGCGUUAAGUGUUCCGCCUGGGGAGUACGCACGCAAGUGUGAAACUCAAAGGAAUUGACGGGGGCCCGCACAAGCGGUGGAGUAUGUGGUUUAAUUCGAUGCAACGCGAAGAACCUUACCAGGGUUUGACAUCCUGCGAAUCCCUUGGAAACGAGGGAGUGCCUUCGGGAGCGCAGAGACAGGUGGUGCAUGGCUGUCGUCAGCUCGUGUCGUGAGAUGUUGGGUUAAGUCCCGCAACGAGCGCAACCCACGUCUUUAGUUGCCAGCAUUCAGUUGGGCACUCUAGAGAGACCGCCGGUGAUAAACCGGAGGAAGGUGUGGAUGACGUCAAGUCAUCAUGCCCCUUACAUCCUGGGCUACACACGUACUACAAUGCUACGGACAAAGGGCAGCAAGCUCGCGAGAGUAAGCAAAUCCCAUAAACCGUGGCUCAGUUCAAAUCGUAGGCUGCAACUCGCCUACGUGAAGGAGGAAUCGCUAGUAAUCGCAGGUCAGCAUACUGCGGUGAAUACGUUCCCGGGCCUUGUACACACCGCCCGUCACACCAUGGAAGUUGGCCAUGCCCGAAGUCGUUACUCCAACCCUUGUGGAGGAGGACGCCGAAGGUGGGGCUGAUGACUGGGGUGAAGUCGUAACAAGGUAGCCGUACCGGAAGGUG
RNAcentral lists this ribosomal RNA (1109 nucleotides) under uncultured cyanobacterium. RNAcentral's name for it is "bacterial SSU rRNA". It matches the Rfam family "Bacterial small subunit ribosomal RNA", at positions 389 to 1514 of the family's 1533-position model. Lineage: Bacteria; Bacillati; Cyanobacteriota. The record is from RNAcentral.